RNAcentral lists this ribosomal RNA (459 nucleotides) under uncultured bacterium. RNAcentral's name for it is "partial 16S ribosomal RNA". It matches the Rfam family "Bacterial small subunit ribosomal RNA", at positions 338 to 795 of the family's 1533-position model. The record is from RNAcentral.
CCUACGGGGGGCAGCAGUGAGGAAUAUUGGUCAAUGGGCGGGAGCCUGAACCAGCCAAGUCGCGUGAGGGAAGAAGGUACUGAGUAUUGUAAACCUCUUUUGCCAGGGGACAAAGGCGGCCACGGGUGGCCGUAAGAGGGUACCUGGAGAAAAAGCAUCGGCUAACUCCGUGCCAGCAGCCGCGGUAAUACGGAGGAUGCGAGCGUUGUCCGGAAUUACUGGGUGUAAAGGGAGCGUAGGCGGGGAUGCAAGUUGGGUGUCAAAACUACCGGCUCAACUGGUAGUCGCACUCAAAACUGCAGCUCUUGAGUGAAGUAGAGGCAGGCGGAAUUCCUAGUGUAGCGGUGAAAUGCGUAGAUAUUAGGAGGAACACCAGUGGCGAAGGCGGCCUGCUGGGCUUUUACUGACGCUGAGGCUCGAAAGUGUGGGGAGCAAACAGGAUUAGAUACCCGAGUAGUC